AAGCUCGAGGAAAUUCGCAAAGUCACACAAAGCGAUGCCGAACUUCAAAAAGUAAUCACAUUCAUCCGAAAAGGGUGGCCUCGCAAAAUGACGGAGGGCUCACCACUGCGUGGAUACUAUGCAGCCAGAAGUCACUUAUCAGAGUCGGACAGUCUGGUCCUAUAUCACGACCGCAUAGUAGUUCCAGCAGUACUCAGAGCUGGGGUCCUGGACCAACUGCACGAAGGUCACCAGGGCCUCAACAAAUGUCGGGAGCGAGCCAAGUUGACAGUUUGGCGGCCAAACAUCGGAGCUCAGAUCACAAACAAAGUGAAAUUAUGUGAUUUUUGCAGAGAGUACAAACCUACACAAAGACGUGAACCACUGGUAACCACUCCCCUGUUGGCCCAUGGCAAAGGAUUGCCGUUGACCUGUUUGAGUUAGAGGGUAAGACUUUUCUUGUCGCUGUCGAUUAUUUCUCUAGAGACAUUGAGAUUGCUUUCCCUCACCACCAUUACCAGCAAGCAGGUUAUUAACAAGCUCAAGCACAUUUUUGUGAGAUGGGGCAUCCCGCUAGAACUGGUCAGUGACAACGGGACACAGUUCACAUCAGCCGAGUUCCAAGAUUUCAAACAGAGGUAUGGUUUCCCUCACAUUACAUCCAGCCCACAUUAUCCACAGUCGAACGGAGCUGCCGAAAGGGCUGUUCGGACUGCCAAGUACAUCCUCAAACAGCCGGACCCAUGCUUAACCCUUAUGGGUUAUCGCUCUACACCAAUCGCAGAAACAGGUGAAAGCCCAGCACAGCUCAUGACUGGUAGACAAAUCCGUACUACUGUUCCUGUUCUAGAAAAGACAUUGCUGCCACGUCCAUUCGACCCGGAUCAAGUCUAUAUGAAGGACGCAACAGCAAAAGGUUCAUACAAAUUCUACUACAACCGCAGGCAUUCGGCAUGCGCGCUCCCUGAACUUCACCCUGGUCAAACUGUUAGAGUGAAGCUCGAUGGGGAGAAGGGAUGGACAACACCUGCCAGGGUCAUCAGUAAGUCCAAGGAGCCGAGAUCCUACCUCGUGGAGAUGGCCAACGGAAACGUGACUCGUCGGAACAGGCGUCACCUCCAGACUGUUCCUGAGACCGAACCUCCUGCGGAACAGCAAUGUGCUCAGCCUACAGUGUCUCAGCAGGACAGCAGUUCCCUACCGACAGACGUGACUGUGCCGCCAGAAUCACCAGUGAGCCAGCUACCAGCAGGCCCUUCCCCAGGGUCUCCCCUUCCGCCAUCUACUCCUGUGAGAAGAACUUCCAGGGGCCGUGAGAUAAAGGUGCCUCUUAGGUUUCAAGACUGAUGAUGUUCAAAAGGGCAGAAUAAUCCCUUUCAGGACUGAAGGCAGUCUACCCCUGUGAUGUCCUGCACCGUUCUGAGACUAUUGCUAAGACGUAAUGAAAAAAAUUUUUUUAUUUGAUAACAAAGUUGUUGCAUUUAUUUUUGUUAUAUUAUUUAAGAAAAUUUAAGAUUUAAUUAAUAUUGCAAAAUGCAGAUGUUUGGGAUCUUGUUAUUGCUAACUUCUAAAAGGGGAAGAUGUUGAGAGAUUGUCUUUUGUCCAUGUUAA
Molecule: long non-coding RNA, 1590 nt
Organism: Cyprinus carpio carpio
Lineage: Eukaryota; Metazoa; Chordata; Actinopteri; Cypriniformes; Cyprinidae
Source: Ensembl